GACGAACGCUGGCGGCGUGCUUAACACAUGCAAGUCGAACGCUGAAGACCUGGCUUUUGUUGGGUUGGAUGAGUGGCGAACGGGUGAGUAACACGUGAGUAACCUGCCCUCUUCUUUGGGAUAACGCCCGGAAACGGGUGCUAAUACUGGAUAUUCACUGAUCUUCGCAUGGGGGUUGGUGGAAAGGUUUGUUCUGGUGGGGGAUGGGCUCGCGGCCUAUCAGCUUGUUGGUGGGGUGAUGGCCUACCAAGGCUUUGACGGGUAGCCGGCCUGAGAGGGUGACCGGUCACAUUGGGACUGAGAUACGGCCCAGACUCCUACGGGAGGCAGCAGUGGGGAAUAGUGCACAAUGGGCGAAAGCCUGAUGCAGCGACGCCGCGUGAGGGAUGGAGGCCUUCGGGUUGGAAACCUCUUUCGCUCAUGGUCAAGCCGCAACUGUGGGUUGUAGUGAGGGUAGUGGGUAAAGAAGCGCCGGCUAACUACGUG
RNAcentral lists this ribosomal RNA (486 nucleotides) under uncultured bacterium. RNAcentral's name for it is "partial 16S ribosomal RNA". It matches the Rfam family "Bacterial small subunit ribosomal RNA", at positions 28 to 507 of the family's 1533-position model. The record is from RNAcentral.